RNAcentral lists this unclassified non-coding RNA (324 nucleotides) under Hevea brasiliensis (rubber tree). The record is from RNAcentral. Lineage: Eukaryota; Viridiplantae; Streptophyta; Magnoliopsida; Malpighiales; Euphorbiaceae.
AGCAGGUAUUCUAUCAAUGGCAAAUGCUGGUCCUGAUACAAAUGGAAGCCAAUUCUUUAUCACUCUUGCUCCUUGCCCAUCCUUAGAUGGAAAGCACUCUAUCUUUGGAAGAGUUUGUAGGGGAAUGGAAAUAAUCAAAAGGCUUGGCAGUGUACAAACUGAUAACAAUGAUAGACCCAUCCAUGAUGUGAAAAUACUACGGGCAUCAGUUAAAGACUAAAGCUUUUCAGUUAUUAACUUUUGACACAAUCUUAUCAUUGUAUCGGCACCGUAUGCAGCAGUAGAAACCAUGUAUGUGUUUCAUGACAGAAGAAAGGGAAAUAU